ACAAGAGUCUACACUGCCUAAAGAGCAUGUGAAUCUCAUCUGACCUCGGAAGCUAAGCAGGGUCGGGCCUGGUUAGUACUUGGAGGGGAGACCACCUAGAAAUACCAGGUGCUGGAG
This is a ribosomal RNA of Pteropus vampyrus (large flying fox), 117 nucleotides long. The record is from Ensembl. NCBI's taxonomy places the organism in Eukaryota, Metazoa, Chordata, Mammalia, Chiroptera, Pteropodidae.